This 773-nucleotide long non-coding RNA is filed under the name Triticum aestivum (bread wheat). RNAcentral describes it as "long non-coding RNA (TAES_LNC002233)". Lineage: Eukaryota; Viridiplantae; Streptophyta; Magnoliopsida; Poales; Poaceae. The record is from RNAcentral.
AAAAGAGAGGGGAUAUAUCAACAUGACACGGUAGGUAAUUGAAAUCUUCAUGUUCACUUUAGGUACGAAUUGCAACAGAACUUGAUUACUCUAGGAAGACGACCAUCCUUCAAUAAUAUGUGCACAAAUGAAAAAUUAUAAACCAAAUCAUGGAGAAAUAAAUGGCCCGACUCAAAAUUAUUUAAAUAUUUUGGUUCAUAACCAAUUCACCACUUCAUCAAGGUUUAGCAAUGUGCAUGUGGAGACGGCAACAUCUCCAGGUGAAGCUAUCGGCCAUGACAGUAAGGCAAUAGGUAGUGCAUGUGGGGGGCGGGAUUAUCAUGCUUCAACCUGCGGGUUAAUCGAGAGUAGACGCAUAUUAGGGCAUAAUCUGGUGUGUGGUUAAUUACAUAGAGACACUUCAACUCCACAAAGCAGAAAAAAUCAAAACAAACUACAGAAGCAAGGGGGGAUAUUGGCUGGCAUACCAUAUGUUGAUCAAUACAUACAUCUUGUGGCAUGGCUGCAUGCGUAUAGUAGGCGAAAAGGCAGAGCCAGGGCGAGGCAGUUACACUCCCGGCAUAGACAUUGAUGACUCGAUUGUUGGCAGCAAUGCAGCGUCGAUCUUCAGUGGCGUCAGACAAUUAGAUCAUUCGUAUUUCCAUAGCCACGGAUAAAAAGAUCAGAUGAGGAAAUUAGAGAAAAAAUCUGAUUAUAGAUCAGAUGCAAUCUAUCAAACAGAACAACAAAAACUGAUGGAGAGAAAACAUACAGUUCCACGAAGAACCUCGGAG